Molecule: non-coding RNA, 73 nt
Organism: Phrynosoma platyrhinos (Desert horned lizard)
Lineage: Eukaryota; Metazoa; Chordata; Lepidosauria; Squamata; Phrynosomatidae
Source: the annotation of a GenBank genome assembly
GUCAGUGUGGCGCAGUGGUUUGAGUUUUGGCCUACAACUCUGGAGACCAGGGUUCGAUUCCCUCACUUGGUCA